CUACGGAGGGAGCAAGCGUUGUUCGGAAUCACUGGGCGUAAAGCGAGUGUAGGUUGUCAGGUAAGUAGGAUGUGAAAGCCCGGGGCUCAACCCCGGAAUUGCAUUCUAAACUGCCUGGCUAGAGUCCCGGAGAGGGAGGUGGAAUUCCGAGUGUAGAGGUGAAAUUCGUAGAUAUUCGGAGGAACACCAGAGGCGAAGGCGACCUCCUGGACGGUGACUGACACUGAGACUCGAAAGCGUGGGGAGCAAACAGGAUUAGAAACCCCAGUAGUCC
This 274-nucleotide ribosomal RNA is filed under the name uncultured bacterium. RNAcentral describes it as "partial 16S ribosomal RNA". It matches the Rfam family "Bacterial small subunit ribosomal RNA", at positions 523 to 796 of the family's 1533-position model. The record is from RNAcentral.